GGGUUUCCCUGCUAUGUUUUGUCACACAUCAUUGCUGGGAGAGUUCAGUGCUAUCCAAGUGACUCCCCCGGGAGAGGACAACUGGAAAUUUAUGCCUGGUGUCUUCCUGGACUCCGACCUAUGCACCUUUUUCCUUGGAUGAUUUUAACCUGUCUCCUUUUGCUGCAAUGAACCAUAACCAUGAGUAUAUCAGCUUUUCUAAUUUUUGUGAGUCCCUCAAGUGAAUUAUCAAACCUAAGGUAGUUUUGGGACCCCCAUCACAGAGAGUCAAACAGGGGCAGGGCAAGAAGAGCUGCUUUUCCUGGAAGGCUAAUGAGUCUGAACUUCGCCCUGGAGGUAAUCGUUAUAGUAACUCCAGGCUCUAACCUGGAGCUGACAUGAUAAGGUCAAAUGUACACCUCUAGAAGACUUCCGACUGCAGAGGGGAAUGGAUGGGGGAGCUGAGGGAGGAGAGCUGAAGCAGGAAGACCAUGGCCUGGAAAGAGAUGGCUGAACCAGUCCAGGUGGCGAGGAGUCCAUGUCAGCUGCCGUCAUCCACACCACAGAUCAGACAUGGCAAAGAGUGGCCAGGCCUUCUGAGUGAAGGUGAUCCAACCUGUCACCAAGCCUAAGGGCAAAUCCUGGCUGUGCUGUGAUGGCUCCAACAACCCCAAACAGCAGCGCAGAGGCUGCAGCCGCCCUCGGAGGCAACACUGGGAAACGCUCAUUAGCAGCCUUCCAUUGCUCACCCGCCCCAUCCCACCUCUGUGCAUCCCAGAUCAUCAGCGAAGUGCACAGCUGGCUUCCAUCCUCGGAGCCUUCCUCCUUCAUUUGCCUAUUCAACAGUUACAAAGGCCUGAGUUGCAAAGGGGCUUACAACCCAUUCCACCCAGAAGAAAGAGAACUGAGACUGAGCAAGACAGAGAAUAGGUGGAAGGGGAGAUGAAACCAAGCAAUCUCUAGAUCCCAAAUGGGGACCCUGAUGUAGCAAGAGCCUCUUUUAAAUCCUUUUCCAAUAGGGUAAUAUGGAAAAUAGUUGAAAGCACAAGCCAAGUGGGGCUGGAAUCCCAAAUGGGCCAUUUACUAGCUGUGUGACUGGACAAGUAAUUUCAUAUUUCUGGGCCUCGAUUUUUCUCAUCUGUAAAAUAGAAAAAAAAAAACCUAUGUCAUAACGUUGAUAAACAGAUUAGAUGAGCUAAGAUCUAAAAUGUCUUCUAUUCAGUAGGUGCUCAAUAAAUGUUAUCUAUUUUUAAAAAAAAAAAAAAAAAA
Molecule: long non-coding RNA, 1248 nt
Filed under: Homo sapiens (human)
Lineage: Eukaryota; Metazoa; Chordata; Mammalia; Primates; Hominidae
Description: SRGAP3 antisense RNA 2, transcript variant 2 (SRGAP3-AS2)
Source: RNAcentral